This 253-nucleotide ribosomal RNA is filed under the name uncultured bacterium. RNAcentral's name for it is "partial 16S ribosomal RNA". It matches the Rfam family "Bacterial small subunit ribosomal RNA", at positions 524 to 776 of the family's 1533-position model. The record is from RNAcentral.
UACGUAGAGUGCAAGCGUUGCUCGGAUUUACUGGGCGUAAAGCGUACGCAGACGGCUUGGUAGGUCGGAUGUGAAAGCCCCGGGCUCAACCCGGGAAUUGCAUCCGAAACCACCUCGCUCGAGUGUGGGAGAGGGAAGCGGAAUUCCUGGUGUAGAGGUGAAAUUCGUAGAUAUCAGGAGGAACACCGGCGGCGAAGGCGGCUUCCUGGCCCAUUACUGACGUUCAGGUACGAAAGCGUGGGUAGCAAACAGG